AGUUAAAAAGCUCGUAGUUGGAUUUCUGCGGGGGCGGGGCGGCCGGUUGCUUAUAGCAACUCGAGCUAGCACUUCCCCUGCAUCCUGCCGCGAACCGUGCUACCAUUAGUUUGGUGGCGCCGGGGAUCGGCUCGUUUACUUUGAGAAAAAUAGAGUGUUCAAAGCAGGCCACACGCCUUGAAUAAGUUAGCAUGGAAUAAUGAUAAAGGACUUCGGUUCUAUUUUGUUGGUGUUCGGGACUGAAGUAAUGAUUGAUAGGGACAGUUGGGGCGGUCAGUAUUCCAAAGCGAGAGGUGAAAUUCUUAGACCUUCGGAAGACUAACAGCUGCGAAAGCGUUCCGCAAGGAUGUUCCCUUUGAUCAAGAACGAAAGUUGGGGGAUCGAAGACGAUCAGAUACCGUCGUAGUCUCAACUAUAAACUAUACCAGCUAGGGAUCGGCCGACGUUUACUUAUAUCGACUCGGUCGGCACCUUAUGAGAAAUCAAAGCAUCUGGGUUCCGGGGGGAGGAUGGUCGCAAGGCUGAAACUUAAAGGAAUUGACGGAAGGGCACCACCAGCCGUG
RNAcentral lists this ribosomal RNA (563 nucleotides) under uncultured marine eukaryote. RNAcentral describes it as "bacterial SSU rRNA". It matches the Rfam family "Eukaryotic small subunit ribosomal RNA", at positions 617 to 1178 of the family's 1831-position model. The record is from RNAcentral.